RNAcentral lists this long non-coding RNA (488 nucleotides) under Cricetulus griseus (Chinese hamster). Its description in RNAcentral is "lncRNA (ENSCGRG00015029460.1)". The record is from RNAcentral. Lineage: Eukaryota; Metazoa; Chordata; Mammalia; Rodentia; Cricetidae.
GGCUGUCUGGGAGCCCCAACAACCAACUCUACAUGGCUUUUAUUUUUCCCUGGCGUUUCUAAAAGUCCAGAAGACGGUGCCCCCACACCCUUGGAACUGGAGUUACAGACAGUUGUUAGCCACCAAGUGGGUGCUGGGACUCGAGCCCGAGUUCUCCGAAAGAACGAUCAAGAUGUAGGACUCUCAGCUACCUCUCCAGCACCAUGUCUGCCUGCGUGCUGCCAUGUCCUUCCAUGAUGAAAAUGGACUGCACCUCAGAACUAGGCAAUUUCAUUUCUGCCACUUGAAGAUUUUCUUGAUGAUAUUUACCAGGAUGCAGUAGUCUAUUAAGUUUUAGGAACUACGUAACUUCUGAAAAGACCAGCUCCUUGGUAAUGUUUUCACAAACUUGGAGCCUGCCUCUGCUGAAGAUCACUGGGCCUGCGCCUGCACCUCCAAUUAACAGAAGGGUUCAAGUCUAUCAUCCCUGCUUCCAUGUUGUGUCUGCC